CCAAUAGCGUAUAUUAAAGUUGUUGCAGUUAAAAAGCUCGUAGUUGAAUUUCGGGGUUAGUAGAUUGGUCAUGCCUCUGGUAUGUACUGGUCUUACUGAUUCCUCCUUCCUGAUGAGCCGUAAUGCCAUUAAUUUGGUGUUGCGGGGAAUUUGGACUGUUACUUUGAAAAAAUUAGAGUGUUUAAAGCAAGCUAACGCUUGAAUACAUUAGCAUGGAAUAAUGAAAUAGGACGUUCGAUCCUAUUUUGUUGGUUUCUAGGAUUGACGUAAUGAUUAAUAGGGAUAGUUGGGGUCAUUAGUAUUCAAUUGUCAGAGGUGAAAUUCUUGGAUUUAUUGAAGACUAACUACUGCGAAAGCAUUUGCCAAGGAUGUUUUCAUUAAUCAAGAACGAAAGUUAGGGGAUCGAAGACGAUCAGAUACCGUCGUAGUCUUAACCAUAAACUAUGCCGACUAGGGAUCGGAUGAUGUUAAUUUUUUAAUGACUCAUUCGGCGCCUUACG
Molecule: ribosomal RNA, 500 nt
Filed under: uncultured Glomeromycotina
Lineage: Eukaryota; Fungi; Glomeromycota
Description: partial small subunit ribosomal RNA
Rfam family: Eukaryotic small subunit ribosomal RNA
Source: RNAcentral